This 172-nucleotide small nuclear RNA is filed under the name Chelydra serpentina (North American snapping turtle). RNAcentral describes it as "U2 spliceosomal RNA (ENSCSRG00000009540.1)". It matches the Rfam family "U2 spliceosomal RNA". Rfam says of the family: U2 is a small nuclear RNA (snRNA) component of the spliceosome (involved in pre-mRNA splicing). The record is from Rfam by way of RNAcentral. Lineage: Eukaryota; Metazoa; Chordata; Testudines; Chelydridae.
AUAUCUCCCAAGCUAAUCUCUGUUCUUCUCAGUGUGAGAUCUGCUCUGCUCUCCGUUGGAGAGCUGGGUGUUCAAUAGGCUUUUUGAGAAAGGGAAUUGGAGUAGGGGCUUGCUCUGCCCAUUCCACGCACCAGCCUGGUAGUGCAGCGCUGCCAGGAGCGGUGCCUCUCCC